This 465-nucleotide ribosomal RNA is filed under the name uncultured bacterium. RNAcentral describes it as "partial 16S ribosomal RNA". It matches the Rfam family "Bacterial small subunit ribosomal RNA", at positions 28 to 507 of the family's 1533-position model. The record is from RNAcentral.
GACGAACGCUGGCGGCGUGCUUAACACAUGCAAGUCGAACGGAAAGGCCCUGCUUGCAGGGUACUCGAGUGGCGAACGGGUGAGUAACACGUGGGUGAUCUGCCCUGCACUUCGGGAUAAGCCUGGGAAACUGGGUCUAAUACCGGAUAGGAGCCAUUUUUAGUGUGAUGGUUGGAAAGUUUUUUCGGUGUAGGAUGAGCUCGCGGCCUAUCAGCUUGUUGGUGGGAUAAUGGCCUACCAAGGCGGCGACGGGUAGCCGGCCUGAGAGGGUGGACGGCCACAUUGGGACUGGGAUACGGCCCAGACUCCUACGGGAGGCAGCAGUGGGGAAUAUUGCACAAUGGGCGCAAGCCUGAUGCAGCGACGCCGCGUGGGGGAGGACGGCCUUCGGGUUGUAAACUCCUUUCGCUAGGGACGAAGCUUUUUGUGACGGUACCUAGAUAAGAAGCACCGGCUAACUACGUG